CCUACGGGGGGCAGCAGUAGGGAAUAUUGCUCAAUGGGGGAAACCCUGAAGCAGCAACGCCGCGUGGAGGAUGAAGGUUUUCGGAUUGUAAACUCCUUUUGUUAGAGAAGAUAAUGACGGUAUCUAACGAAUAAGCACCGGCUAACUCCGUGCCAGCAGCCGCGGUAAUACGGAGGGUGCAAGCGUUACUCGGGAUCACUGGGCGGAAAGAGCGCGUAGGCGGGAUAGCAAGUCAGAUGUGAAAUACUAUGGCUUAACCAUAGAACUGCAUUUGAAACUGUUAUUCUAGAGUAUGGGAGAGGUAGGUGGAAUUCUUGGUGUAGGGGUAAAAUCCGUAGAGAUCAAGAGGAAUACUCAUUGCGAAGGCGACCUGCUAGAACAUAACUGACGCUGAUGCGCGAAAGCGUGGGGAGCAAACAGGAUUAGAUACCCGAGUAGUC
RNAcentral lists this ribosomal RNA (440 nucleotides) under uncultured bacterium. RNAcentral describes it as "partial 16S ribosomal RNA". It matches the Rfam family "Bacterial small subunit ribosomal RNA", at positions 338 to 795 of the family's 1533-position model. The record is from RNAcentral.